Molecule: long non-coding RNA, 289 nt
Organism: Pogona vitticeps (central bearded dragon)
Lineage: Eukaryota; Metazoa; Chordata; Lepidosauria; Squamata; Agamidae
Source: RefSeq, a predicted model, not a curated record
CAACCCAGGUUCACUGCCACAGUUCCUCUUGGAUGGCUUCUCAGUGGCACUAACAGCGAUUUAUAACCAGAUCCUGUGGUUUUAUGGUCAUCGACUUGGGUAGUCAUGGAUCCUAGCUGAAAGAAUGAUACGAGCAAUCAUUGCUUGGUUUGCAAUACUCAUCAAACCUUAUACUAUGAGAACAUUUGGCGUAUUAGAAGUUUCAGCCAGUACAACAUUUUCAGAGACAAGGCAAGAUCAAACUGGAAACAUAGCAAACUUGAACAUGAGAGAUGCUGGAAUAGAGACA